This 367-nucleotide unclassified non-coding RNA is filed under the name uncultured Thelephoraceae. Its description in RNAcentral is "sequence contains ITS1". The stretch from base 1 to 106 matches the Rfam family "5.8S ribosomal RNA", at positions 50 to 154 of the family's 154-position model. The record is from RNAcentral. Lineage: Eukaryota; Fungi; Basidiomycota; Agaricomycetes; Thelephorales; Thelephoraceae.
GAAAUGCGAUAAGUAAUGUGAAUUGCAGAAUUCAGUGAAUCAUCGAAUCUUUGAACGCACCUUGCGCCCCUUGGCUAUUCCGAGGGGCAUGCCUGUUUGAGUAUCAUGAACACCUCAACUCUCAUGGUUCGCCGUGAUGAGCUUGGACUUGUGGAGGUUUUGCUGGCCUUUGGUCGGCUCCUCUCAAACGGAUCAGCUUGCCAGUGUUUGGUGGCGUCAUGGGUGUGAUAAAUAUCUACGCUUGUGGCCGUCUGCCAGGUAACCUUCAGCGAUGGAGGUUCGCUGGAGCUCACAAAGGUCUUCCUCAGCGAAGACAGCUUUUUGAACGUUCGAUCUCAAAUCAGGUAGGACUACCCGCUGAACUUAA